AUGCAAGUCGAGCGAUGAUGCUCCCUUCGGGGGGUACAUCAGCGGCGAACGGGUGAGUAACACGUGGGUGACCUUCCGCAAAGACGGGGAUAACGCUUGGAAACAGGGGCUAAUACCCGAUGUGCUCAGCAGUUCACUCUGUUGAGUAAAGCUAUCGCGCUUUGGGAUGGGCCCGCUGUCCAUCAGCUAGUCGGUAUGGUAAUGGCCUACCAAUGCUAAGACGGGUAUGGGGCGUGAGAGCGCGAUCCCCCAUACUGGCACUGAGACACGGGCCAGAGUCCUACGGGAGGCAGCAGUGAGGAAUAUUGCGCAAUGGACGAUAAGUCUGACGCAUCGACGCCGCGUGGGCGAUGAAGGCCUACGGGUCGUAGAGCCCUUAGCUGGGGGACGAGAAAGGACGGUACCCCAGGAAUAAGGCCCGGGUAACUACGUGCCAGCAGGCGCGGUCAAACGUAGGGGGCAAGCGUCAUCCGGAUCUACUGUGCGUAAAGAGCGUCGAGGCGGGUAUGAAAGUAGGGCGUGAAAGCCCUGGGCUUAACUCAGGGAAGCCGUUCAAUACUGCGAAACUUGACGGCAGCAGAGGGAGGUGGAAUUCCCGGAGUAGCGGUGACAUGCGUAGAUAUCGGUCAGGAAACACGCAGUGGCGAAUGUAGACUCCUGGGCUGCUCCUGACGCUGAAUGCUAAAGCUCAUGGGGAGCAAACGGGAGUAGACACCCCGGUAGUCCUAGCCGUGAACGAUGGAUGCUAGCUCUGUGGGGCUGUAGAUUCCCUCCGUGCCGCAGUCAACGCGUUAAGCAUCCCGCCUGGGGAUGUACGUCCGCAAGGCUCAAACUCACCCGAUCUGACGGGGGCCCGCACAAGCCGCGGAGAGUGUGACUUUAAUUCGAUGCUACACGAAGAACCUUACCUGGGCUUGACAUACAGGUAGUAGUGAACUGCAAGCGGAUCGACCCUUCGGGGAGCCUGUACAGCUGCUGCAUGCCUUUCGUCAGCUCGUGCCGUGUGAUGUCGGGUUAAGUCCCGUAACGAGCUCAACCCUUGCUCUUAGUUAUACGUGUCUAAGAGGACUGCCGGCGUUAAGCCGGAGGAAGGUGGGGAUGACGUCAAGUCAUCAUGGCCUUUAUGUCCAGGGUUACACACACGCUACAAUGGUCGGUACAAUGGGUAGCUAAACCGCGAGGUGGAGCCAAUCCUGUAAAGCCGGUCUCAGUUCGAAUUGCAGUCUGCAACUCGCCUGCAUGAAGUCGGAGUCGCUAGUAAUCGCAGGUCAGCAAUACUGCGGUGAAUACGUUCCCGGGCAUUGUACACACCGCCCGUCACGUCAUGGAAGCUGGCAACACCUGAAG
Molecule: ribosomal RNA, 1347 nt
Filed under: uncultured organism
Description: bacterial SSU rRNA
Rfam family: Bacterial small subunit ribosomal RNA
Source: RNAcentral